This 2085-nucleotide long non-coding RNA is filed under the name Sus scrofa (pig). Its description in RNAcentral is "lncRNA (ENSSSCG00000056832.1)". Lineage: Eukaryota; Metazoa; Chordata; Mammalia; Artiodactyla; Suidae. The record is from RNAcentral.
AUGUGAUGUUUAAGGCAUAUGGAAAAGUUUUAAGGAUAAUUUUAUAAACAACCUUGACUCCAGCUUAACAAAUAAGACUCUGCUUGGGAACAUUUUGUUUGUAGAUAUUCUAACAUUCACUCCAUUUGUUCCCUGGACUUUAUUGUAAUUAUGUGGCGAGAUGUCUGAAAAAACACCUGGGUAAAAAUUCAAAUCUGAAGUUCAAAUACUAUGUGUUUCUAAAGUAAUGAACUUCUUUACAGUACAGAUACUGACUUACUGACUUUGAAAAACUUAUGGUUUCCAAAGGAGAGAAGUUGGGGGGUGGGAGGAUGGGAUGGAAAAUGCUAUAUCAUUGUACAACUAUAAAUGUAACAAAUUCAUUGAGUAUUGCAAAAAAAAAAAGAAAGAAAGAAAGAAAGAAAGAAUGUUGGAGUUGUCGUUGUAGCUCAGUGGUUAACAAACCCGACUAGUAUCCCUGAGGAUGAAGGUUCUAUCCCCGACCUCGAUCAGUGGGUUAAGGAUCUGGCGUUGCCAUGAGCUACAGUGUAGGUCACAGACCUGGCUCGAAUCUGGCGUUGCUGUGGCUGUGGUGUAGGCCAGCAGUUGCAGCUCCAAUUUGACUCCUAGCCUGGGAACCUCCAUAUGCCACAGAUGCAGCCCCCCCCCACUCCAAAAAAGGGAGGUACCCUGGAUGCAGCCACAGCGGGUAGAGAGAGAGCAUCAUUGAGGAUCCAGGCCCCCCCAACAUUCCAAUAGGAAGCAUGAGCUUGAAGAACAGGCAUACUGAUUGUAAUCUAGUCUGAAGCUGAAAUCGUCCUUCGAGUGUCUGUUAAAAACUCUUUUAAAAUCAUCCUCAUCAGAAACAAUUGCAGAAGUUUGAGCAAAGCGAAUUUACACGCUAAUUUAUAAAUAUUGUUUCAUCUCAUAAGAGUGUACUGAUCUACUUUCUUUGUUUUGUUUUCUUUGUUGAAAGCUUCCUCAUUUCUGUUUGAAGCUCUGCCACGGAGGACUUCCCACCCAUGAGCUUGGGGCAGAGGGUGUCACGCUUUCCAGGGUUCAUCACUGGACCUCAGCUAACAGUUGUAAGUACCAACAGCCUCCUCCACAACCCUUCUAACUGCCACAAACCAAAAUAAAGAACAAAAAACUAGGCCAUAUAGGGGUUUCCAUCAUGGCUUAGUGAUAACAAACCCAACUAGUAUCCAUGAGGAUGUGGGUUCAAUCCCCGGCCUCAGUGGGUUAAGGAUCGAGACGACAGCAACAUCAACAAAAACAUUAAGCCAUACAAAUUCCACUUUCCUCGUGAGUGUUUCCCGCCUGCCAGGUCUGCGGUGUCCUCCGCUCCCAGUGAACCCCUGGGGUUCUUAGUGCUUCUCCAGCGAUGUUCACCGGGUCCUACACUGUGCAGAGUUGCCGGCUUACCCACUGCUGGGCUCUAGGCCAUGCGAGGGCAGGAACCUCGUCCUAGUCACUGCACGUCCUCAGGACCGUGACCUGCCAAGGGCACUGGAUCCACAGAAGGAGAUACAGGGGCAGGUAUGGAAGAAACUCAGCCUCACAGCUCAGCACUCAUCCUGGGGGUUACUCCUCACCACCCAGAAGCUGUGUGCUGUAUUUCACAUGAAAGCGUGUGAUUAAAAUAUUUCUUGUUGGCAGGAGCCCCUCCUGUCAGGACCGGCCAGUGGUGUCGGGCUGAGGGCGCCAGCCAGGUGUCCCUGCAGCUUUAGGCUUUCAGCAAACAUCAAGACUCGGAUAUCUAAACCACAAGCAAAAUCCUUCCAAAGAUCUUAAACUGUGUUGAAGUGAGGCUGAACAAACCGCUGAUCUGAGAGCUGGCGCAGCACACGGAGCUCCCCGGCCCUUUGAUUAGUGCCAGGAUGCAGGGGCUCACAGGGGGGGUCCCCAUGCAGGUUACCAGUCAAGACCCCGGCUUCUGUGGAUGCUGAGAUGCGGGGAGGGCCCCUGACGUGACAGAGGACCCACAGCUGGUCAGUGGUGGGGUCAGUCAGAAAAUCCAUCCUUCAGAUGAGGCUGAGGUGCCGUGGGCAGUGAGGCCGAGACAGCCCUGAGUGAUCCUCCAGCAGAAGGGGCCAUGAUCCAUGU